UGGGGAAUUUUGGACAAUGGGCGAAAGCCUGAUCCAGCAAUGCCGCGUGUGUGAAGAAGGCCUUCGGGUUGUAAAGCACUUUUGUCCGGAAAGAAAUCCUUGGCUCUAAUACAGUCGGGGGAUGACGGUACCGGAAGAAUAAGCACCGGCUAACUACGUGCCAGCAGCCGCGGUAAUACGUAGGGUGCAAGCGUUAAUCGGAAUUACUGGGCGUAAAGCGUGCGCAGGCGGUUUGCUAAGACCGAUGUGAAAUCCCCGGGCUCAACCUGGGAACUGCAUUGGUGACUGGCAGGCUAGAGUAUGGCAGAGGGGGGUAGAAUUCCACGUGUAGCAGUGAAAUGCGUAGAGAUGUGGAGGAAUACCGAUGGCGAAGGCAGCCCCCCUGGGCCAAUACUGACGCUCAUGCACGAAAGCGUGGGGAGCAAAACAGGAUUAGAUACCCUGGUAGUCCACGCCCUAAACGAUGUCAACUAGUUGUUGGGGAUUCAUUUCCUUAGUAACGUAGCUAACGCGUGAAGUUGACCGCCUGGGGAGUACGGUCGCAAGAUUAAAACUUAAAUGAAUUGACGGGGUCAUAGCUG
RNAcentral lists this ribosomal RNA (581 nucleotides) under uncultured bacterium. Its description in RNAcentral is "partial 16S ribosomal RNA". It matches the Rfam family "Bacterial small subunit ribosomal RNA", at positions 355 to 932 of the family's 1533-position model. The record is from RNAcentral.